This 166-nucleotide small RNA is filed under the name Arabidopsis thaliana (thale cress). RNAcentral describes it as "ATSL150510". The record is from RNAcentral. Lineage: Eukaryota; Viridiplantae; Streptophyta; Magnoliopsida; Brassicales; Brassicaceae.
AGGAAAACCCUUUACGGUUUUACCAAAAAACCAAAGUUAACUAUGGUUCAUAUAGUCUCUGGAGGUUUCUAUGUACCCGUCAGUUUUGUCUCCGAUUUUUUUUGUUUUUUUUCGCCUCUAAAUAACUCAAACGCAUUUUAUCAAUGAAAUUCUUCAGACGAAAAAA